UACGUAGGGGUGCAAGCGUUAUCCGGAUUAUUGGGCGUAAAGAGCGUGUAGGCGGUUCGGUAGGUCCGUUGUGAAAACUCGAGCUCAACCUCGAGACGCCGAUGGAAACCCCCGAACUAGAGUCCGGAAGAGGAGAAUGGAAUUCCUGGUGUAGCGGUGAAAUGCGCAGAUAUCAGGAAGAACACCCGUGGCUAAGGCGGUUCUCUAGUACGGUACUGACGCUGAGACGCGAAAGCGUGGGGAGCGAACAGG
RNAcentral lists this ribosomal RNA (252 nucleotides) under uncultured bacterium. RNAcentral's name for it is "partial 16S ribosomal RNA". It matches the Rfam family "Bacterial small subunit ribosomal RNA", at positions 524 to 776 of the family's 1533-position model. The record is from RNAcentral.